ACUCCUACGGGAGGCAGCAGUGGGGAAUUUUGCGCAAUGGGGGAAACCCUGACGCAGCAACGCCGCGUGGAGGAUGAAGUCCUUUGGGUUGUAAACUUCUUUCGACCGAGAAG
RNAcentral lists this ribosomal RNA (113 nucleotides) under uncultured soil bacterium. RNAcentral describes it as "partial 16S small subunit ribosomal RNA". It matches the Rfam family "Bacterial small subunit ribosomal RNA", at positions 335 to 447 of the family's 1533-position model. The record is from RNAcentral.